This 442-nucleotide ribosomal RNA is filed under the name Streptococcus mitis. RNAcentral describes it as "bacterial SSU rRNA". It matches the Rfam family "Bacterial small subunit ribosomal RNA", at positions 28 to 462 of the family's 1533-position model. Lineage: Bacteria; Bacillati; Bacillota; Bacilli; Lactobacillales; Streptococcaceae. The record is from RNAcentral.
GACGAACGCUGGCGGCGUGCCUAAUACAUGCAAGUAGAACGCUGAAGGAGGAGCUUGCUUCUCUGGAUGAGUUGCGAACGGGUGAGUAACGCGUAGGUAACCUGCCUGGUAGCGGGGGAUAACUAUUGGAAACGAUAGCUAAUACCGCAUAAGAGUAGAUGUUGCAUGACAUAUGCUUAAAAGGUGCAAUUGCAUCACUACCAGAUGGACCUGCGUUGUAUUAGCUAGUUGGUGAGGUAACGGCUCACCAAGGCAACGAUACAUAGCCGACCUGAGAGGGUGAUCGGCCACACUGGGACUGAGACACGGCCCAGACUCCUACGGGAGGCAGCAGUAGGGAAUCUUCGGCAAUGGACGGAAGUCUGACCGAGCAACGCCGCGUGAGUGAAGAAGGUUUUCGGAUCGUAAAGCUCUGUUGUAAGAGAAGAACGAGUGUGAGAGU